CACCCGCGCCACAAGUGGUCAUCGCGUUUAUUGGGCCUAAAGCGUCCGUAGCCGGCUCUGCACGUCUUGGGUGAAAUCGUUGCGCUUAACAAAACGACGUGCCCGAGAUACGACAGGGCUUGGGAUCGGGAGGUGUCGGAGGUAUUCCUGGAGGAGCGGUAAAAUGUGAUCAUCCCAGGAAGACCACCUGUGGCGAAAGCGUCCGACAAGAACGAGUCCGACGGUGAGGGACGAAAGCUAGGGGAGCAAACCGG
Molecule: ribosomal RNA, 254 nt
Filed under: uncultured bacterium
Lineage: Bacteria
Description: partial 16S ribosomal RNA
Rfam family: Archaeal small subunit ribosomal RNA
Source: RNAcentral